CCAAUCAGCAUCGCCAGCCUCCUCGCCAGCUCUCCGCCAACCAAUCAGCAUCACCACGCCGCCAGCCAAUCAGCGCUCCCCACCUCCUCCUCCUGGAUGUCGCCGUGCUGCUCGCCAGCCAAUCAGACCCCUCGCUGCCCUCCCACCAGCCAACCACGUCUCCGUUUGAUCUCCACGCGGCCAAUCAGGACUCUCGCUGCUGCCCCGCCGGCCAAUCAGCACUCCUCCCCGCCGCCGUGCCGUCCAAUCAGCGCCCACCCCAGCCAAUAAAGCCGCGCCGUGGGGCGGCCCCGUUUUAUUCCGGUUCCUCCUCGAAGGUGCGCCCCACGGCGCAGCCCCUCGUCGGCCAGGCGGGUGAGGGGCCGCCAACGCCCCGCGCGCCGCAGCGGCGCCGUCUGCAGCAGGGCCUCGGCCGUGGGGCGGCGCCGGGGGUCCGGCUCCAACAUGGCCGCCAGCAGCUCCCGCAGCUCCGGGGUGAGCCCUGCGGUGGGGGGGGGACGGGGGGGUAAAAUUGGGGGUCUGGGGGCAACCGGGGAGGGUUGGGGGGUGGGGGGAGCCAAUGGGGGGCAAAGGGACCCCAUGGGUGACCCAGGGACCCAGUGGGUGACACCGGGACCCAACCAUGGCCAAGGGCACCCAAUGGGUGUCAUCAGGACCCAACCAGACCCACGGGGACCCAACGGGUGUCAAGGGGACCCAGUGGGUGACCCAAGGACCCAACCCCACCCAUGGGGACCCACUGGAUGUCACGGGGACCCAACCAUGGCCAAGGGCACCCAAUGGGUGUCAUCGGGACUCGACCGCACCCAUGGGGACCCAAUGGGUGACACGGGGACCCAACCAGACCCAUGGGGACCCAACCGCACCCACGGGGACCCAACGGGUGUCACAGGGACCCAACCGUGGCCAAGGGCACCCAAUGGGUGUCAUCAGGACCCAACCAGACCCACGGGGACCCAAUGGGUGUCAUGGGGACCCAACGGGUGUCAUCGGGACCCAACCCCACCCAUGGGGACCCAACCAUGGCCAAGGGCACCCAACCAUGGACGUGGGGACCCAACAGGUGACAUGGGGACCCAAUGGGUGGCCCAAGGACCCAACCACACCCCUGGGGACCCAAUGGGUGACACGGGGACCCAACCAUGGACAAGGGGACUCAAUGGGUGUCAUCGGGACCCAACCCUGGUGAAGGGCACCCAACCAUGGACCCAACGGGUGACCCAGGAACCCAACGGGUGGCACAGGGACCCAACCACACCCCCGGGGACCCAACGGGUGACCCAAGGACCCAACCAUGGACAAGGGGACUCAACGGGUGUCAUCGGGACCCAACCAAGGCCAAGGGCACCCAACCACGGAUGCAAUGGGUGUCACGGGGACCCAAUGGGUGACCCUGGGACCCAACCGCACCCACGGGGACCCAACGGGUGACACGGGGACCCAACCCCACCCAUGGGGACCCAACCAAGGCCAAGAGCACCCAAUGGGUGUCAUCGGGACCCAACCCCACCCCUGGGGACCCAAUGGGUGACCCAAGGAUCCAACCACGACUAAGAGCACCCAAUGGGU
Molecule: long non-coding RNA, 1569 nt
Filed under: Anas platyrhynchos platyrhynchos (common mallard)
Lineage: Eukaryota; Metazoa; Chordata; Aves; Anseriformes; Anatidae
Description: lncRNA (ENSAPLG00000030547.1)
Source: RNAcentral